RNAcentral lists this unclassified non-coding RNA (261 nucleotides) under Hevea brasiliensis (rubber tree). The record is from RNAcentral. Lineage: Eukaryota; Viridiplantae; Streptophyta; Magnoliopsida; Malpighiales; Euphorbiaceae.
UCGGGCAUGUGGGGCUGGAAGACAGCCUAUAGCGACUCACCGACAGGCUAGGGCGCAGUCCCGAAGGCCCCAGCGGCCUUCGGACAACGUGUCCGAAGUUGUUCUUGAUUGAAAACUGGANNUGAUGUCGAUCUCGCUCUCAACCCUUAAGGCCAUAUGUGCCGCCGUCGCGGUGCUGUUUGUGCUGGCUCAGCCAGCCGCCGCGCAGCUAUCGUUCAAGCCCACCGCCGACGCUGUGCAUGAAGACCAGCUUCUCAAGGC